Molecule: unclassified non-coding RNA, 21 nt
Filed under: Mus musculus (house mouse)
Lineage: Eukaryota; Metazoa; Chordata; Mammalia; Rodentia; Muridae
Description: oocyte_clustered_small_RNA12462
Source: RNAcentral
UGAGGGCACCACACUGAAGGU